This 401-nucleotide ribosomal RNA is filed under the name uncultured bacterium. RNAcentral's name for it is "bacterial SSU rRNA". It matches the Rfam family "Bacterial small subunit ribosomal RNA", at positions 975 to 1375 of the family's 1533-position model. The record is from RNAcentral.
CAACUCCUGACAUCCCCCUGACCGGUACAGAGAUGUACCUUCCCCUUCGGGGGCAGGGGUGACAGGUGGUGCAUGGUUGUCGUCAGCUCGUGUCGUGAGAUGUUGGGUUAAGUCCCGCAACGAGCGCAACCCUUGUCCUUAGUUGCCAGCAUUUGGUUGGGCACUCUAGGGAGACUGCCGGUGACAAACCGGAGGAAGGUGGGGAUGACGUCAAAUCAUCAUGCCCCUUAUGAGUUGGGCUACACACGUGCUACAAUGGACGGUACAAAGGGCAGCGAAGCCGCGAGGUGGAGCCAAUCCCAUAAAGCCGUUCCCAGUUCGGAUUGCAGGCUGCAACUCGCCUGCAUGAAGUCGGAAUCGCUAGUAAUCGCAGGUCAGCAUACUGCGGUGAAUACGUUCCC